Molecule: ribosomal RNA, 378 nt
Filed under: uncultured bacterium
Lineage: Bacteria
Description: bacterial SSU rRNA
Rfam family: Archaeal small subunit ribosomal RNA
Source: RNAcentral
GCGCGAAAACUUUACAAUGCUGGCAACAGCGAUAAGGGAACCUCGAGUGCCAGGUUACAAAUCUGGCUGUCGAGAUGCCUAAAAAGCAUUUCAUAGCAAGGGCCGGGCAAGACCGGUGCCAGCCGCCGCGGUAACACCGGCGGCUCGAGUGGUAACCGUUAUUAUUGGGUCUAAAGGGUCUGUAGCCGGCCGGAUAAGUCUCCUGAGAAAUCUGGCAGCUUAACUGUCAGGCUUUCAGGAGAUACUGUCUGGCUCGAGGCCGGGAGAGGUGAGAGGUACUUCAGGGGUAGGGGUGAAAUCUUGUGAUCCUUGAAGGACCACCAGUGGCGAAGGCGUCUCACCAGAACGGACCUGACGGCAAGGGACGAAAGCUAGGGG